AACAGGGGUGCUCUUCAGAGCUGAGAAAAGACCCUUAUCACCUGAUCUAGGUAACACUAGCGUAGGGAGUUC
Molecule: non-coding RNA, 72 nt
Filed under: Lactimicrobium massiliense
Lineage: Bacteria; Bacillati; Bacillota; Erysipelotrichia; Erysipelotrichales; Erysipelotrichaceae
Also listed under: 1 other name
Description: TPP riboswitch (THI element)
Rfam family: TPP riboswitch aptamer (THI element)
About the family: Vitamin B(1) in its active form thiamin pyrophosphate (TPP) is an essential coenzyme that is synthesised by coupling of pyrimidine and thiazole moieties in bacteria.
Source: RNAcentral